GACGAACGCUGGCGGCGUGCUUAACACAUGCAAGUCGAGCGGAAAGGCCCUUCGGGGUACUCGAGCGGCGAACGGGUGAGUAACGCGUGAGUAAUCUGCCCUUGGCUUUGGGAUAACUACCGGAAACGGUGGCUAAUACCGGAUACGACAACCGUCUGCAUGGGCUGGUUGUGGAAAGUUUUUUCGGCCAGGGAUGUGCUCGCGGCCUAUCAGCUUGUUGGUGGGGUAAUGGCCUACCAAGGCUUCGACGGGUAGCCGGCCUGAGAGGGUGACCGGCCACACUGGGACUGAGACACGGCCCAGACUCCUACGGGAGGCAGCAGUGGGGAAUAUUGGACAAUGGGCGGAAGCCUGAUCCAGCAACGCCGCGUGAGGGAUGACGGCCUUCGGGUUGUAAACCUCUUUCAGUACCGACGAAGCGCCGAUGAUGGUGGUGACGGUAGGUACAGAAGAAGCACCGGCCAACUACGUG
RNAcentral lists this ribosomal RNA (472 nucleotides) under uncultured bacterium. RNAcentral's name for it is "partial 16S ribosomal RNA". It matches the Rfam family "Bacterial small subunit ribosomal RNA", at positions 28 to 507 of the family's 1533-position model. The record is from RNAcentral.